This 431-nucleotide ribosomal RNA is filed under the name uncultured bacterium. RNAcentral's name for it is "bacterial SSU rRNA". It matches the Rfam family "Bacterial small subunit ribosomal RNA", at positions 958 to 1392 of the family's 1533-position model. The record is from RNAcentral.
AACGCGAAGAACCUUACCAGGUCUUGACAUCCUGAGAACCCGGCGUAAUGGCUGGGGUGCCCUUCGGGGAACUCAGUGACAGGUAGUGCAUGGUUGUCGUCAGCUCGUGUCGUGAGAUGUUGGGUUAAGUCCCGCAACGAGCGCAACCCUUGUAUUUAGUUGCUACGCAAGAGCACUCUAGAUAGACUGCCGUUGACAAAACGGAGGAAGGUGGGGAUGACGUCAAAUCAUCAUGCCCUUUAUGACCUGGGCUACACACGUAUUACAAUGGCGAGUAAACAGAGGGAAGCGACACGGCGACGUGAAGCGGACCCCAAAAAAUCGUCUCAGUUCGGAUUGCAGGCUGCAACCCGCCUGCAUGAAGUCGGAAUUGCUAGUAAUCGCGGAUCGGCAUGCCGCGGUGAAUACGUUCCCGGGUCUUGUACACACCG